Molecule: long non-coding RNA, 228 nt
Filed under: Brassica napus (rape)
Lineage: Eukaryota; Viridiplantae; Streptophyta; Magnoliopsida; Brassicales; Brassicaceae
Description: long non-coding RNA (BNAP_LNC025219)
Source: RNAcentral
GUUGUAUAUAAACAUAAAUAACUUGUAACAAUGAAAGAAGCAUGAACCAACCGUGUUGAUAUAUCUCCACAUCGCACACAGCUAAAGCUUCGAAUGUCGUUGACCCAACACCUUCUCGUUUGUUAGUAAAGCAAUCUUACUAAAUCCAUAUCCAACGUUAGCCACUAUGUCUCUUUCCCAUAAUAACUCAAUAAAUAAAAUAAAAUUUGUAUUCCUCUCCUGAACCUU